Molecule: ribosomal RNA, 370 nt
Filed under: uncultured eukaryote
Lineage: Eukaryota
Description: partial 18S ribosomal RNA
Rfam family: Eukaryotic small subunit ribosomal RNA
Source: RNAcentral
CAAUAGCGUAUAUUAAAGUUGUUGCAGUUAAAAAGCUCGUAGUUGGACCUUGGACCUGGACAGGCGGUCCGCCUCACGGCGAGUACUGUCUUGCUGGGUCUUUCCUCUUGGUGAUCUGUUGUUUCGGCAGCAGGGAACCAGGACCUUUACUUUGAAAAAAUUAGAGUGUUCAAAGCAGGCUCGACGCCGGAAUAUAUUAGCAUGGAAUAAUAAAAUAGGACGUGCGGUUCUAUUUUGUUGGUUUUUGGAAUCGCCGUAAUGAUUAAUAGGGACAGUCGGGGGCAUUAGUACUCACAUGCUAGAGGUGAAAUUCUUGGAUUUGUUAAAGACGGACUACUGCGAAAGCAUUUGCCAAGGAUGUUUUCAUUGA